GUCGUCGGAUUCACUUUAAUUUAUAUGUGUUGAUAUGGAUUAGGGUGGAAUUUAGUUCAAAUUUCACUCUAAUCCAUCUCAACACAUGUGGAUUGAUGUGAAUCCGACU
Molecule: microRNA precursor, 109 nt
Organism: Sorghum bicolor (sorghum)
Lineage: Eukaryota; Viridiplantae; Streptophyta; Magnoliopsida; Poales; Poaceae
Rfam family: MIR5565 microRNA precursor family
Source: Rfam